RNAcentral lists this ribosomal RNA (490 nucleotides) under uncultured bacterium. Its description in RNAcentral is "partial 16S ribosomal RNA". It matches the Rfam family "Bacterial small subunit ribosomal RNA", at positions 30 to 507 of the family's 1533-position model. The record is from RNAcentral.
AUUGAACGCUGGCGGCAGGCCUAACACAUGCAAGUCGAACGGUAACAGGAAGCAGCUUGCUGCUUUGCUGACGAGUGGCGGACGGGUGAGUAAUGUCUGGGAAACUGCCUGAUGGAGGGGGAUAACUACUGGAAACGGUAGCUAAUACCGCAUAACGUCGCAAGACCAAAGAGGGGGACCUUCGGGCCUCUUGCCAUCGGAUGUGCCCAGGUGGGAUUAGCUAGUAGGUGGGGUAACGGCUCACCUAGGCGACGAUCCCUAGCUGGUCUGAGAGGAUGACCAGCCACACUGGAACUGAGACACGGUCCAGACUCCUACGGGAGGCAGCAGUGGGGAAUAUUGCACAAAGGGCGCAAGCCUGAUGCAGCCAUGCCGCGUGUAUGAAGAAGGCCUUCGGGUUGUAAAGUACUUUCAGCGGGGAGGAAGGGAGUAAAGUUAAUACCUUUGCUCAUUGACGUUACCCGCAGAAGAAGCACCGGCUAACUCCGUG